RNAcentral lists this ribosomal RNA (747 nucleotides) under Triticum aestivum (bread wheat). RNAcentral describes it as "partial small subunit ribosomal RNA". The record is from RNAcentral. Lineage: Eukaryota; Viridiplantae; Streptophyta; Magnoliopsida; Poales; Poaceae.
AUGAUCUGUUGCCACCAUGCCAGCCGCGUCAAGCUGCACAGCUCAUGCCUGCAGUCGCUGCACUACAAAGGCGGCAUUCCCCUUGAGUCGCUCUUCAAGGUUGCAAACUACAAAGGAGUGAUGGCGCUGACGAUCGAAAUCUGUGAAGACCUCUCCAAAAGGAAAUCAACCGAGGUUGCUCCGGUCACAGGACUCAUCAGCCAGUGCACCGAGCUGGCGUAUCUCCACCUUUCCUUGCGCCCGUCAAUGGCCUACCACAGCAGCUUGUUCGCAGAUGCUGUACGGGGGCUACCUCUCAGACAGUCGGGCCUCAAAGGCUGCCUGCGCGAGGGCCAUGCCGCCCGGUCUGUCGCCGUCUUGCUUCGUGAAACAAAGAACCUGGAAGUACUGUCGCUGUUUCCUCUAGGUCAGCCCAAAAAGAAGGAGUCCUGGAUGUCCGAUGGCGAAUCGGGUACCGAGAUUGAAGACGACGGUGACGAUGAGGUCGACCGUAGUGGCCGUGCGACCGAUAGUUUGUGGCAGAUGUACAUCAGAUGCUUGGGCCAUAAGCUGAGAAGAAUCAGCAUUGUAAAUUAUAAAGGACUGCAACUCGAAAGAAUGCUUGCACAUUUUUUGCUUGACAGGGGUAAGACUUUGGAGGAAUUCUCGGUUACCUCACCGGUUGAAAGUUCCCGGCGAAAGCAUCAGAUGGCCUGCCUGCUAAGAUCCUGGAGACGCAACCGCCAUACCAGAGUAACCGUAAAUUGA